UUUUAUCUGUCACUACAUUUUCAGUAAAGUCGGGCAGCGAGCCUUAACGGAGCGAAGGCUGUUAUCACCUCUCCUUAGCCCUUUAAGUGCAGCAGGCUCUUUGGUGUCUCUCGCUGGAUGCCGCUUUGUUAAUUGCGACGGGAAACAGGACCAGGCGCUGAGCAUCGCUCUGCCCGGGCGGCACUCGCCACAGAACCGCCGGCUUUGGGAGAGGAGCCCCAGCCCAGGAGUCACACACGCGGAAGAGGCAAUGUGAAAUCAGUGCAUCUUUCUGAGGGCUAUUUAUGUUGCAGAGGAGCUGAGAGGGGAAGUCUCUCACUGCAAGCCAGUACCACAGCUUCAGGGGGAUUUGAGCCACACGAGCCCAGGAUGCCGGUGAGAGGCACUGCAGCUCUCCCUGAUUCUCCAGCGAGGCCCACCCGCCGUCCCCGUGUCUGGUCCAGCAUCACACGCGUUCACAAGGCUGCUCUGGAAAUCUCCUUUUAUUUCUUUGGUAGACUCUCAGCCAUUAUCUGCUCACACAUAAGAUUAAUUUGCUGCCUUUGAGGUGUGCAGGCAGUAGGAAGUAGCAAUAGUAGAAUUAAACAGUCUGGAGAGCAUGGCUGUUCCCCAAGCAAGGUUUUCCUUGUGUUUUGGACUGCAUCUGUGUCUAUGGGUUUCUGGAGCACUUUGGCACUUAUCAGCUGAAACACUUCCUGAUGGUCAUCUUAUAAAAGGAGCAACUGGGGCUGGUGUUGGAUUUUACUUUACCAUGCUACUCAGAAGCUAAUGACAUGACCAGGGAGGGAGAAAAAAAAUAAACUGCUAUGGACGUUUUGUGGAAGUUUCUUGAAUGUUGUAUAAUUUUCUUUAAUGAGCAGUGGAGGGGUUUUUUGCAGAUUUUUACUGAUAUGUACAGAUUCCAUUAAAAUAUGAAGUCUCUCAAACUCCAAGUCAGAAUGGUUCAUAGUCACUUACUGAUAUUUCAAAGUUCUUUGCUAAAAUUUUGUACUUUGAACCUCCAAAAGAAAGAACCAUGCAAAUAAAAGUUUUAAAAAAACCCCAGCAACAAAGCCCAAAGUGAAAACCUGGAUAUAACUUUUGUUUUCAACAUUACUAUUUGUAGCUCUUUGGACUAUCUUGGCAUUUCAGUAUAGUUUUCCCAUAUUUCAGAUGUCACCAUGAAUAAAGAGUUAAGCAGAGAUCAUCUCAACCUCUACUUCAUUAUACAACUGUUUAAAUCCAGCUGACACCCUGAAUCUCAAAACCAAAUAAAGUAGAUCUGGAAAAUAUUCAGAGAGCGGGGACAGGAUUGCAUCAGAGCAAAGAAAGGCUUGGUUUGAAAAAAAACCAAAACAUUUUGGAAGAGAUAUAGAAUGGGGGAGGCAGAACAUGAAAGACACCAAUAAACUUGAGACUAGCAUGGAGACGUUAAAAAGACAUUAAUUGUUUGUUAUUUCUCUAAAUAUUGCAACUAAGGAUCAUCAAAGCAAACAGAGAAAAGGUUCUUAGCGCAGAUUGAUAGAUCAUGUGAGAGCUCUUUACCCAAGUCUGUAACAAA
Cyanistes caeruleus (blue tit) is the source of this 1540-nucleotide long non-coding RNA. RefSeq lists it as uncharacterized. The record is from RefSeq and is a predicted model, not a curated record. Lineage: Eukaryota; Metazoa; Chordata; Aves; Passeriformes; Paridae.